AGCGGCGGACGGGUGAGUAAUNCCUAGGAAUCUGCCUGGUAGUGGGGGAUAACGUUUCGAAAGGNACGCUAAUACCGCAUACGUCCUACGGGAGAAAGCNGGGGAUCUUNNGACCUCACGCUAUCAGAUGAGCCUAGGUCGGAUUAGCUAGUUGGNGNGGUAAAGGCUCACCAAGGCGACGAUCCGUAACUGGUCUGAGAGGAUGAUCAGUCACACUGGAACUGAGACACGGUCCAGACUCCUACGGGAGGCAGCAGUGGGGAAUCAUUGGACAAUGGGNGAAAGCCUGAUCCAGCCAUGCCGCGUGUGUGAAGAAGGUCUUCGGAUUGUAAAGCACUUUAAGUUGGGAGGAAGGGCAGUAACUUUAAUACCUGNNUGUUNUGACGGUACCGACAGAAUAA
This 401-nucleotide ribosomal RNA is filed under the name Pseudomonas sp. D6. Its description in RNAcentral is "partial 16S ribosomal RNA". It matches the Rfam family "Bacterial small subunit ribosomal RNA", at positions 94 to 489 of the family's 1533-position model. The record is from RNAcentral. Lineage: Bacteria; Pseudomonadati; Pseudomonadota; Gammaproteobacteria; Pseudomonadales; Pseudomonadaceae.